UAAUACAUGCAAGUCGAACGAAGUAGCAAUACUUAGUGGCAGACGGGUGAGUAACAUGUAGGUAUCUACCCUUUGGCCUGGAAUAACACGAGGAAACUUGUGCUAAUACCGGAUAAGUCUUUACGGAGAAAGCUUUAUGCACCAUUGGAUGAGCCUGCACUUGAUUAGUUUGUUGGUGGGGUAAUGGCCUACCAAGACAAUGAUCAAUAGCUGAUUUGAGAGGAUGAUCAGCCACAUUGGGACUGAGACACGGCCCAAACUCCUACGGGAGGCAGCAGUAGGGAAUCUUGCACAAUGGAGGAAACUCUGAUGCAGCGAUGCCGCGUGAGUGAAGAAGGCCUUUGGGUUGUAAAGCUCUUUCGUCGGGGAAGAAAAUGACUGUACCCGAAUAAGAAGGUCCGGCUAACUUCGUGCCAGCAGCCGCGGUAAUACGAAGGGACCUAGCGUAGUUCGGAAUUACUGGGCUUAAAGGGUUCGUAGGUGGUUAAAAAAGUUGGUGGUGAAAUCCCAGAGCUUAACUCUGGAACUGCCAUCAAAACUUUUUAGCUAGAGUAUGAUAGAGGAAAGCAGAAUUUCUAGUGUAGAGGUGAAAUUCGUAGAUAUUAGAAAGAAUACCGAUUGCGAAGGCAGCUUUCUGGAUCAUUACUGACACUGAGGAACGAAAGCAUGGGUAGCGAAGAGGAUUAGAUACCCUCGUAGUCCAUGCCGUAAACGAUGUGUGUUAGACGUUGGAAAUUUAUCUUCAGUGUCGCAGCGAAAGCGAUAAACACACCGCCUGGGGAGUACGACCGCAAGGUUAAAACUCAAAUGAAUUGACGGGGACCCGCACAAGUAGUGGAGCAUGUGGUUUAAUUCGAAGAUACGCGCAGAACCUUACCAACACUUGACAUGUUCGUCGCGACUCUAAGAGAUUAGAGUUUUCGGUUCGGCCGGACGAAACACAGGUGCUGCAUGGCUGUCGUCAGCUCGUGUCGUGAGAUGUUGGGUUAAGUCCCGCAACGAGCGCAACCCUUACUUUUAGUUGCCAUCAUUUAGUCGGGCACUCUGAAAGAACUGCCAGUGAUAAGCUGGAGGAAGGUGGGGAUGACGUCAAGUCCUCAUGGCCCUUAUGUGUUGGGCUACACACGUGCUACAAUGGUAUCUACAACAGGAAGCAAGAUGGCAACAUUAAGCAAAUCCCAAAAAGAUACCUCAGUUCGGAUUGCACUCUGCAACUCGAGUGCAUGAAGCUGGAAUUACUAGUAAUCGUGGAUCAGCGUGCCACGGUGAAUACGUUCCCGGGUCUUGUACACACCGCCCGUCACACCAUGGGAGUUGGUUCUACCUUAAGGCAAAGUUUAAAACCUUUGACCACGGUAUAGUCAGCGACUGGGGUG
RNAcentral lists this ribosomal RNA (1376 nucleotides) under uncultured Pelagibacterales bacterium. RNAcentral's name for it is "bacterial SSU rRNA". It matches the Rfam family "Bacterial small subunit ribosomal RNA". The record is from RNAcentral. Lineage: Bacteria; Pseudomonadati; Pseudomonadota; Alphaproteobacteria; Candidatus Pelagibacterales.